Molecule: unclassified non-coding RNA, 334 nt
Filed under: soil metagenome
Description: partial contains 5.8S ribosomal RNA, internal transcribed spacer 2, and large subunit ribosomal RNA
Rfam family: 5.8S ribosomal RNA (bases 1-120)
Source: RNAcentral
GAUGAAGAACGUAGCGAAAUGCGAUAAGUAAUGUGAAUUGCAGAAUUCGGUGAAUCAUCGAAUCUUUGAACGCACAUUGCGCCCGCCAGUAUUCUGGCGAGCAUGCCUGUUCGAGCGUCAUUUCAACCAUCAAGCCCCAGGCUUGUGUUGGAGCCCUGCGGCUGCCGCAGCCUCCCAAAACCAGUGGCGGGCUCGCUAUCACACCGAGUGCAGUAGUUUACUCUUCGCUCAGGGCGUGUGGCGGGUGCUAGCCGUGAAACCCCCAACUUCUCAAGGUUGACCUCGGAUCAGGUAGGAAUACCCGCUGAACUUAAGCAUAUCAAUAAGCGGAGGA